Molecule: ribosomal RNA, 177 nt
Filed under: Suillus collinitus
Lineage: Eukaryota; Fungi; Basidiomycota; Agaricomycetes; Boletales; Suillaceae
Description: partial 28S ribosomal RNA
Rfam family: Eukaryotic large subunit ribosomal RNA
Source: RNAcentral
UUGACCUCAAAUCAGGUAGGACUACCCGCUGAACUUAAGCAUAUCAAUAAGCGGAGGAAAAGAAACUAACAAGGAUUCCCCUAGUAACUGCGAGUGAACCGGGAAAAGCUCAAAUUUUGAAUCUGGCGGUCUUUCGGCCGUCCGAGUUGUAAUCUAGAGAAGCGUCUUCCGCGCUGG